AAGGUUUCUGAGUUGCACACGUGUUUGGCCUCUAUAGGUUUCACUGGGAUCAAUCUUGAACCUUUCUUCUCAUUAUAGAUCCAUCUUCUCCAAGAUGAAUCUCAGCCUUUUGGAUCUUUGAUCAACUCUUGAUUUUUAACUAUGAUCUCAACACUUGAACUGCAGCCUUUCUCCCUAUUUUUUACUAUUGGAAAAUAUGUCCCAAA
Molecule: long non-coding RNA, 206 nt
Filed under: Elaeis guineensis (African oil palm)
Lineage: Eukaryota; Viridiplantae; Streptophyta; Magnoliopsida; Arecales; Arecaceae
Description: long non-coding RNA (EGUI_LNC068698)
Source: RNAcentral